Alcanivorax borkumensis SK2 is the source of this 213-nucleotide regulatory RNA element. The record is from Rfam. Lineage: Bacteria; Pseudomonadati; Pseudomonadota; Gammaproteobacteria; Oceanospirillales; Alcanivoracaceae.
AAUUUCGCGCCACCUUUCGGUGCCCACCCUGAACACAGGGCGGGUUAAACGGGAAGCCGGUGAGAGCCUUGGCUCUAAUCCGGCGCUGCCCCCGCAACGGUGAUUGAGUAAACGAUAGUCGAAAUGCCACUGUGCUUUUGCAUGGGAAGGCGACUGUCGAGAGGCUAAGCCUCGCUCAUUAGCCCGGAGACCGGCCAAAAGGUAAGGAAGCUU